UACGGGGGGUGCAAGCGUUGUCCGGAAUUACUGGGCGUAAAGGGCUCGUAGGUGGCCUACUAAGUCGGACGUGAAAUCCCGCAGCUUAACUGGGGAACUGCGUCCGAUACUGGAUGGCUUGAGUUUGGGAGAGGGAUGCGGAAUUCCAGGUGUAGCGGUGAAAUGCGUAGAUAUCUGGAGGAACACCGGUGGCGAAGGCGGCAUCCUGGACCAACACUGACACUGAGGAGCGAAAGCCAGGGGAGCAAACGGG
RNAcentral lists this ribosomal RNA (253 nucleotides) under uncultured bacterium. RNAcentral's name for it is "partial 16S ribosomal RNA". It matches the Rfam family "Bacterial small subunit ribosomal RNA", at positions 524 to 776 of the family's 1533-position model. The record is from RNAcentral.